AUGGCGCCAAUUAAUCUUAGACGUCAGCGAACAUUUGCAAACUUCACAAAAAACCCAGUUGAGCCUAGAUUCAUAGACUUCGACGACAUCGAAUAUUCUGAUACAUUCAGAACUUGUAGCAUCUGCGUGAGGGUAGAUGUCAAAUUCCCGGUUAAUCCGAGUGGUGAUAAGCUUCACUUCAUUCUUAUGGACAAAACUGGUGCCAAAAUCGAGGCUAUAGUUGCCGGAAAAGAUUUAGUGAAUAGAUUCAAUAUUACAUUGCACAUGGGUCGUAAGUACAUCAUUCAUGGUGUUACUAUGCGGCCUAACUUUGAAGAACUGGAGUGUAGAUACAUUCAACACACAUAUGAGUGUUCCUUCAACGCAAGGACAUUUGUUGAGUCUCUCUCACUUCAAUUUCCAACAUAUCCCAAGCAUUUGAUGCCGUUCCAAGAAGUUCAGAGGUGUCCAAGAAACACUUUCGUAGACAUAAUUGGCAUAGUCGUUCAUUAUGAUGGACAUGAACGCAUUGGGGGAUACCCAGGUGCUGAAAUACAUAGAGAGGUCACCUUCAUGGAUAUGUGGGGCAAACUUAUAGUUUUUGGGAUUUGGGGUGGCAACUUGAUUCAGAACUCAUAUAGGUGGUCAACAACUGAAGGCAAUAAAUCUAUUGUCCUUGCCACUAUGCUUCGUAAGGAUUGCAAAUACGGAAAUCUGGAAACUUCAAAUUACACCACCCUUGCAUUCAACCCGGAUCAUACUGCAGCACGCGCACUUGAUGAUAUUCGCCAGAAAAUAAUAGGUGGGUUGAUUGAUAUGAAGUUUGUUCAGCAAUUUAUUGAGUGGAGGUGGGCUUUCCUAGCAAGCGAGUUGUCUACAAAGGAUCCCCGACACAGGAUGUAUACAAAGAAAGCUCGGCGCAUGUAG
This 906-nucleotide ribosomal RNA is filed under the name Triticum aestivum (bread wheat). RNAcentral's name for it is "partial small subunit ribosomal RNA". The record is from RNAcentral. Lineage: Eukaryota; Viridiplantae; Streptophyta; Magnoliopsida; Poales; Poaceae.